Molecule: long non-coding RNA, 2625 nt
Organism: Cavia porcellus (domestic guinea pig)
Lineage: Eukaryota; Metazoa; Chordata; Mammalia; Rodentia; Caviidae
Exons: 3
Source: RefSeq, a predicted model, not a curated record
CGAGCUCUAAAGUAAAAUAUGGCUUCAUUUCUUCAUUAGUGUGAAUUCUUUUACCUGUCUAAUCCUUCUUAAGGUCCACUUUACAAUCCCUUAAAAACAAAGCCCCUUUCCCAGAAGCAGGAACAAAAUUCAUGGGGAGCACCUGUUUAGCAAGUUCGAGGUGCUGUGUUAGUCCCUGUCACACACACACACACACACACACACACACACACACACAGGCUUUUCCAGAAAACUGAAGCCCACAUCAAUACAGUUUUGCUUUUCACAAAGUCUGAGAGCAUUGGGUAGUACUGUGUUCAUUAAAUAAUGUCUAUAUGAAACUAUGCUUUCAAAAUCCAAAAGCAUACUUUGGUCAAUUUUUUUUUUUUUUUUUGGUACUGGGAAUCAAACUCAGGGUCUCACACUUGCCAGGCAGGCACUGUACCACUAAGUCAUGCCCAGCCCACCAGCUUUUUUGUUGUUGUUGUUUUAACUAAAUUGAAUAUUAAGUCUUCCAAAGCAACAUGAAGAUCAGAAGCACAGUUAGAGCUCCUGGUUUCUGCCUGUGGGAAGCUGACAGCGUCAUGGUCCGUGACUGUGCCAGUUCCCAUCACCUGACUGUGCCACCCUGCAGGCUCUGGUGUUAAUGGUGCUGCGUUGGGCUCCAGUUCUGCACAGGCGUCGUCACAGCCUCCAUGGUGACUGUGGAAAAAGAGAGGAAGACAAAAUACGGAGCAGCGAGCCAUGGAAAUGUCAUGAGCCUGGCAUCACAGUCAAGCAAACUGAAGUGCCAGUCAUUUUCUCCUGUCCCCUGAGCAACAAGAUGCAAACCAGAAGCAGCAGGUCUAGGAUAAGGGUGACGAUAUUUACAAAGUAAGAACCCUGGCUGCCUGCUGAGUCUCUCAUUUAAACUUCUAAACUGCUCAAGUAGAGACAAUGUAUCAACCGUCACAGAUGACAAGAGGAGAAUGGGCGUAAUCUACUGAAGUGACAAAAGCCAUUGGCACAGUAAAUGCCACGCCCCUUGCUGCCUUGGAGAAUGGAUGAUCCUCUCAGUGCCGCCCGCACCGCACUCAGUGGUGCAGAUGCCCAACCAUGCGGGGCAGCAGCCCGGCUGCAUAAACACUGCUCAGGGCCAGCGCCUGCAGUAAUCAGAGGAUGCGGCCCACUGUGCACCGUGUUUUAGGGUAACGUGGUCAGCACUGUGAGACUCGGAUGACAGGCCAUUAAAAACCCACGAAAGGCAGGUGAGCCUUGGAGUGCUAGUGUUACAGGCAGCUAAGCAAGGUAGAAAUACUACUGGCAAUCAGACAGAGCAGUGCAGGAGACAGAAUUCACUGUAGCGGUGGGGGAGACAGACACUUCCGCUGAGGGCCAGACCCCAAGACAAAAGCCAAAACCAAGGCACCCACAUCCUUCCCCUCAGGAGAAGCAGCAGUGAGUGAUGUUCUAAAUAGAUGUCACCACCUUGGGAAAGCCAGGGAGAGCCGCUGACCCGCCCCCUCCAGGAAAAGCCCCUCUUGUGUUUCUUGACUGCUUGCUGUGUGACCUGCUUCCCCUUUGGGUCCCUAUUUAAUCAAUAUUACCUGAGCAAUUAUGCUCCUGAUCUUAUUGAUUGACCACAGUUUUGUGCCACCUCGUGCCAACCUUGUGAUUUCUCAUUUUUCCCCACCUUGGACCUGCCUCACCUUGUGGUUUUGCUCUAUAAAAAUUCCUUGAAAAGGCAGGGUGCUUGGCAAUCCAUUCUGGACCCCUUCUGUCUUUCUUUGUCAGACAGAAGCUCUUUCCUAAUAAACAUACUCUGUUCUUAACCUCUGUUGUUCCUAAAAUUCAUUUUUCGAUUUUAGCGGUCAUGAACUCAUAUCAGACACCUGGCAGGCUGGGGGUGUCUGUCCCCCAUAUCAAUCCACCAAGAUCAUAGGACAGAGGUAGAAGUUUGCCUUUGUUUCAUACACUCCAAUUGGGACUCAUUUAGGUAAAAAUAUUGCAUUUCAAAUUUUGAUAUGUCUUUACCCAUUGCUUAUAAUUCCUCACGCUGUGUUUCUUACAUAGUUUUGUUAAAAUGAUGACAAAUUUAAGUUAAAAACAUGGGAAGGUUAUAAGGUUACGAUGCUUUUUUGUUUUGUUUUUUGAGAGAGGGUUUCACUCUGCAGUUCAGGCCGGCCUUACAUUCACCAUGUAGCCCAGACAGGCCUCAGACUUGCAGUAAUUCUUUUGCCGCCUCAGCUUCCCGAGUGCUGUGAUUACAGGUGUGCACCACCAUGCCCAGUUUCUAGGAUGCUUUUUUUUUUGUCUUUUUCAUUUUUAUCGGUAUCGGGGAUCAAACUCACAACUGCAUACUUGCAAGGCAGGCGCUUAUGCCGCUGAGCUAAAUCUCCAGCCCCCUAUGAUGCUUUUUUAAUGGGACAUUUUUAUUCCUGUUUUGUGUAUGCUGCAUUCAAGUUAUUGAAUUUACUAGUGUUCCUUGCUUCACUUUACACAAUAGCACUAGAAAGAGUAAUGUUAGAGCUCUCCCUAGUGGACUUUAAUAUAAACUUCUCUAAAAUGGAUCUUUUAAAAUAAAAUCUAGCUCAGUCUUAGAAAAAUGCAUACAUGCCUAUAUAAUAAAACAUGGGACUCCUUCCACCAGUUCAGAGACACUAGGUU